CAGCCGCCGCGGGAAAACAGAGGGUGCGAGCGUUAAUCGGAUUUACUGGGCGUAAAGCGUGCGUAGGCGGCUUUUUAAGUCGGAUGUGAAAUCCCUGAGCUUAACUUAGGAAUUGCAUUCGAUACUGGGAAGCUAGAGUAUGGGAGAGGAUGGUAGAAUUCCAGGUGUAGCGGUGAAAUGCGUAGAGAUCUGGAGGAAUACCGAUGGCGAAGGCAGCCAUCUGGCCUAAUACUGACGCUGAGGUACGAAAGCAUGGGGAGCAAACAGGAUUAGAUACCCCGGUAGUCCCUGUCUCUUAUAC
This 301-nucleotide ribosomal RNA is filed under the name uncultured bacterium. Its description in RNAcentral is "partial 16S ribosomal RNA". It matches the Rfam family "Bacterial small subunit ribosomal RNA", at positions 509 to 807 of the family's 1533-position model. The record is from RNAcentral.